UACGUAGGGUGCAAGCGUUGUCCGGAAUUAUUGGGCGUAAAGAGCUCGUAGGCGGUCUGUCGCGUCUGCUGUGAAAACUCAGGGCUUAACCCUGAGCUUGCAGUGGGUACGGGCAGACUAGAGUGCGGUAGGGGAGACUGGAAUUCCUGGUGUAGCGGUGAAAUGCGCAGAUAUCAGGAGGAACACCAGUGGCGAAAGCGGCCACCUGGACUGCACCUGACGCUGACACGCGAAAGCUAGGGGAGCGAACGGG
RNAcentral lists this ribosomal RNA (253 nucleotides) under uncultured bacterium. RNAcentral describes it as "partial 16S ribosomal RNA". It matches the Rfam family "Bacterial small subunit ribosomal RNA", at positions 524 to 776 of the family's 1533-position model. The record is from RNAcentral.